RNAcentral lists this ribosomal RNA (253 nucleotides) under uncultured bacterium. RNAcentral describes it as "partial 16S ribosomal RNA". It matches the Rfam family "Bacterial small subunit ribosomal RNA", at positions 524 to 776 of the family's 1533-position model. The record is from RNAcentral.
UACGGGGGGGGCAAGCGUUGUUCGGAAUUACUGGGCGUAAAGGGCUCGUAGGCGGCCAACUAAGUCAGACGUGAAAUCCCCGGGCUCAACCCGGGAACUGCGUCCGAUACUGGGAGGCUUGAAUCCGGGAGAGGGAUGUGGAAUUCCAGGUGUAGCGGUGAAAUGCGUAGAUAUCUGGAGGAACACCGGUGGCGAAGGCGGCAUCCUGGACCGGUAUUGACGCUGAGGCGCGAAAGCGUGGGGAGCGAACGGG